ACCACUGGAAACGGUGGCUAAUACCGGAUGUGCCGAGAGGUAAAAGGCUUGCUGCCUGAAGAUGAGCUCGCGACUGAUUAGCUAGUUGGUAGUGUAAGGGACUACCAAGGCGACGAUCAGUAGCUGGUCUGAGAGGAUGAUCAGCCACACUGGGACUGAGACACGGCCCAGACUCCUACGGGAGGCAGCAGUGGGGAAUUUUCCGCAAUGGGCGAAAGCCUGACGGAGCAAUACCGCGUGAGGGAGGAAGGCUCUUGGGUUGUAAACCUCUUUUCUCAAGGAAUAAGUUUUGAAGGUACUUGAGGAAUAAGCAUCGGCUAACUCCGUGCCAGCAGCCGCGGUAAUACGGAGGAUGCAAGCGUUAUCCGGAAUGAUUGGGCGUAAAGAGUCCGUAGGUGGUUGUGAAAGUCUGCUGUUAAAGAGCAAGGCUCAACCUUGUAAAGGCAGUGGAAACUACACAGCUAGAGUGCGUUCGGGGCAGAAGGAAUUCCUGGUGUAGCGGUGAAAUGCGUAGAGAUCAGGAAGAACACCGGUGGCGAAAGCGUUCCUUGCUAGGCCGCAACUGACACUGAGGGACGAAAGCUAG
This 586-nucleotide ribosomal RNA is filed under the name Nostoc sp. C47. RNAcentral's name for it is "bacterial SSU rRNA". It matches the Rfam family "Bacterial small subunit ribosomal RNA", at positions 146 to 763 of the family's 1533-position model. The record is from RNAcentral. Lineage: Bacteria; Bacillati; Cyanobacteriota; Cyanophyceae; Nostocales; Nostocaceae.